RNAcentral lists this ribosomal RNA (496 nucleotides) under uncultured bacterium. RNAcentral's name for it is "partial 16S ribosomal RNA". It matches the Rfam family "Bacterial small subunit ribosomal RNA", at positions 28 to 506 of the family's 1533-position model. The record is from RNAcentral.
GAUGAACGCUGGCGGCGUGCCUAAUACAUGCAAGUCGAGCGAACAGACGAGGAGCUUGCUCCUCUGACGUUAGCGGCGGACGGGUGAGUAACACGUGGAUAACCUACCUAUAAGACUGGGAUAACUUCGGGAAACCGGAGCUAAUACCGGAUAAUAUAUUGAACCGCAUGGUUCAAUAGAGAAAGACGGUUUUGCUGUCACUUAUAGAUGGAUCCGCGCCGCAUUAGCUAGUUGGUAAGGUAACGGCCUACCAAGGCAACGAUGCGUAGCCGACCUGAGAGGUUGAUCGGCCACACUGGAACUGAGACACGGUCCAGACUCCUACGGGAGGCAGCAGUAGGGAAUCUUCCGCAAUGGGCGAAAGCCUGACGGAGCAACGCCGCGUGAGUGAUGAAGGUCUUCGGAUCGUAAAACUCUGUUAUUAGGGAAGAACAAAUGUGUAAGUAACUAUGCACGUCUUGACGGUACCUAAUCAGAAAGCCACGGCUAACUACGU